Molecule: ribosomal RNA, 440 nt
Filed under: uncultured bacterium
Lineage: Bacteria
Description: partial 16S ribosomal RNA
Rfam family: Bacterial small subunit ribosomal RNA
Source: RNAcentral
CUACGGGAGGCUGCAGUAAAGAAUAUUUCGCAAUGGGGGAAACCCUGACGAAGCGAUACCGCGUGGGCGAUGAAGGUCGUAAGAUUGUAAAGCCCUUUUUUGGAGGAAUAAUUCUGAAGGUACUCCAAGAAUAAGCACCGGCUAACUCCGUGCCAGCAGCCGCGGUAAUACGGAGGGUGCAAGCGUUACCCGGAAUCAUUGGGCGUAAAGCGUCCGCAGGUUGUUUGUUAAGUUGAAUAUUAAAUCUUGAAGCCCAACUUCAAGCCUGUAUUCAAAACUGGCAGACUAGAGUCUUUCAGAGGUACACGGAAUUCUGUGUGUAGGGGUAAAAUCCGUAGAUAUACAGAGGAACACCAAAAGCGAAGGCAGUGUACUGGGAAACGACUGACACUCAUGGACGAAAGCGUAGGUAGCGAACGGGAUUAGAUACCCGAGUAGUC